UAGGUGAGAUGGGGGCUACAGUGCAGGACACAGAGGUCAGUGUGUAGGAGAGAUGGGGGCUACAGUGCAGGACACAGAGGUCAGUGUGUAGGAGAGAUGGGGGCUACAGUGCAGGACACAGAGGUCAGUGUGUAGGAGAGAUGGGGGCUACAGUGCAGGACACAGAGGUCAGUGUGUAGGAGAGAUGGGGGCUACAGUGCAGGACACAG
Brienomyrus brachyistius is the source of this 209-nucleotide long non-coding RNA. RefSeq lists it as uncharacterized. The transcript has 3 exons. The record is from RefSeq and is a predicted model, not a curated record. NCBI's taxonomy places the organism in Eukaryota, Metazoa, Chordata, Actinopteri, Osteoglossiformes, Mormyridae.